CAUCCUCCAAGGCUAAAUACUCCUGACUGACCGAUAGUGAACCAGUACCGUGAGGGAAAGGCGAAAAGAACCCCGGCGAGGGGAGUGAAAAAGAACCUGAAACCGUGUACGUACAAGCAGUGGGAGCACAGGUUUACCUGUGUGACUGCGUACCUUUUGUAUAAUGGGUCAGCGACUUAUAUUCUGUAGCAAGGUUAACCGAAUAGGGGAGCCGGAGGGAAACCGAGUCUUAAUUGGGCGUUAAGUUGCAGGGUAUAGACCCGAAACCCGGUGAUCUAGCCAUGGGCAGGUUGAAGGUUGGGUAACACUAACUGGAGGACCGAACCGACUAAUGUUGAAAAAUUAGCGGAUGACCUGUGGCUGGGGGUGAAAGGCCAAUCAAACCGGGAGAUAGCUGGUUCUCCCCGAAAGCUAUUUAGGUAGCGCCUCGUGAAUUCAUCUCCGGGGGUAGAGCACUGUUUCGGCUAGGGGGCCAUCCCGGCUUACCAACCCGAUGCAAACUGCGAAUACCGGAGAAUGUUAUCACGGGAGACACACGGCGGGUGCUAACGUCCGUCGUGAAGAGGGAAACAACCCAGACCGCCAGCUAAGGUCCCAAAGUCAUGGUUAAGUGGGAAACGAUGUGGGAAGGCCCAGACAGCCAGGAUGUUGGCUUAGAAGCAGCCAUCAUUUAAAGAAAGCGUAAUAGCUCACUGGUCGAGUCGGCCUGCGCGGAAGAUGUAACGGGGCUAAACCAUGCACCGAAGCUGCGGCAGCGAACGUAUCACUUAAAGCGAUUCAGCGGGUUACGAUUGACGGAGCGAAGCGACGUCAAAGCGUAUACAAAGUCGAGUCGGUUUAAGGAUACGUUCGUUGGGUAGGGGAGCGUUCUGUAAGCCUGUGAAGGUGGCCUGUGAGGGUUGCUGGAGGUAUCAGAAGUGCGAAUGCUGACAUAAGUAACGAUAAAGCGGGUGAAAAGCCCGCUCGCCGGAAGACCAAGGGUUCCUGUCCAACGUUAAUCGGGGCAGGGUGAGUCGACCCCUAAGGCGAGGCCGAAAGGCGUAGUCGAUGGGAAACGGGUUAAUAUUCCCGUACUUGGUGUUACUGCGAAGGGGGGACGGAGAAGGCUAUGUUGGCCGGGCGACGGUUGUCCCGGUUUAAGCGUGUAGGUGUGUGUUCCAGGUAAAUCCGGUUCACUUUAACACUGAGGCGUGAUGACGAGGCACUACGGUGCUGAAGCAACAAAUGCCCUGCUUCCAGGAAAAGCCUCUAAGCAUCAGGUAACAUCAAAUCGUACCCCAAACCGACACAGGUGGUCAGGUAGAGAAUACCAAGGCGCUUGAGAGAACUCGGGUGAAGGAACUAGGCAAAAUGGUGCCGUAACUUCGGGAGAAGGCACGCUGACA
Molecule: ribosomal RNA, 1385 nt
Filed under: Salmonella enterica subsp. enterica
Lineage: Bacteria; Pseudomonadati; Pseudomonadota; Gammaproteobacteria; Enterobacterales; Enterobacteriaceae
Description: partial 23S ribosomal RNA
Rfam family: Bacterial large subunit ribosomal RNA
Source: RNAcentral